GACGAACGCUGGCGGCGUGCUUAACACAUGCAAGCCGAACGAUGAAGCCGGAGCUUGCUCUGGUGAAUUAGUGGCGAACGGGUGAGUAACACGUGAGUAACCUGCCCUUGACUCUGGGAUAACUGCGGGAAACUGUAGCUAAUACCGGAUACGACCCUCGGAGGCAUCUCCUGGGCGUGGCAAGAAUUUCGGUCAAGGAUGGACUCGCGGCCCAUCAGCCAGUUGGUGAGGUAAAGGCUCACCAAGGCGACAACGGGUAGCCGGCCUGAGAGGGUGACCGGCCAAACUGGGGCGGAGAGACGGCCCAGACGCCGACGGGAGGAAGCAGUGGGGAAAAGUGCACAGUGGGCGCGAGCCUGAUGCAGCAACGCCGCGUGGGGGAUGUCGGCCUUCGGGUUGUAAGCCUCUUUUAGCAGGUAAGAAGCGAAAGUGACGGUACUGGCAGAAAAAGCACCGGCUAACUACGUGCCAGCCGCCGCCGUAA
RNAcentral lists this ribosomal RNA (484 nucleotides) under uncultured bacterium. RNAcentral describes it as "partial 16S ribosomal RNA". It matches the Rfam family "Bacterial small subunit ribosomal RNA", at positions 28 to 523 of the family's 1533-position model. The record is from RNAcentral.